CGCGUAGGCGGCCGUAUAAGUCGGGGGUGAAAGCCUGUGGCUCAACCACAGAAUUGCCUUCGAUACUGUACGGCUCGAGACCGGAAGAGGUAAGUGGAACUGCGAGUGUAGAGGUGAAAUUCGUAGAUAUUCGCAAGAACACCAGUGGCGAAGGCGGCUUACUGGUCCGGUUCUGACGCUGAGGCGCGAAAGCGUGGGGAGCAAACA
This 207-nucleotide ribosomal RNA is filed under the name uncultured bacterium. RNAcentral's name for it is "partial 16S ribosomal RNA". It matches the Rfam family "Bacterial small subunit ribosomal RNA", at positions 568 to 774 of the family's 1533-position model. The record is from RNAcentral.